Molecule: long non-coding RNA, 484 nt
Organism: Sapajus apella (tufted capuchin)
Lineage: Eukaryota; Metazoa; Chordata; Mammalia; Primates; Cebidae
Exons: 3
Source: RefSeq, a predicted model, not a curated record
CCUCUCGUCAGCGCCGCCAUUGCCGGUCACAUGACUGAGGCUGUUGCUGGGAUGACGGUCCGGGCCUUAGCAACAAGGCGGGGGGAGACCCCGAGAAGGUGGGGGGUUGCAGGGGGUGCAGGCUGAUGGAAAGGGAAGGAGGGAGGACAGCACCCCCUUUCCCCUCACAGGUGAUAAUCACCGUUCCCUUUGACCCCCCUCUAUCCGCAAGCCCCUGCUCUUCCUCCCCAAAACAAAAAUGGAGGAGCUGUCCCAGUCUUUGGAGGGAGGGGGUGGCGUCACGGAACUGAGGGUAGGAGGUUAAAUCCCUGGAGACGCCACCCUUCUCGCUCCCGCCUCCCGGCGGAGCACUCUCCCUUUUCUUUCCCAGCCAGCUGCGUAGCAGCUCCCGGGAGCUGGUGGUGGAUGGGGGGGAGAAGUGUUGAUUGUUACCUCCUGUGACCCCCACAACCUGCUCUCAGAUGGUCGUUGAUGGACUCUCACU